Molecule: ribosomal RNA, 446 nt
Filed under: uncultured bacterium
Lineage: Bacteria
Description: partial 16S ribosomal RNA
Rfam family: Bacterial small subunit ribosomal RNA
Source: RNAcentral
CCUACGGGGGACAGCAGUCGAGAAUCAUUCACAAUGGGGGAAACCCUGAUGGUGCGACGCCGCGUGGGGGAAUGAAGGUCUUCGGAUUGUAAACCCCUGUCAUGUGGGAGCAAAUUAAAAAGAUAGUACCACAAGAGGAAGAGACGGCUAACUCUGUGCCAGCAGCCGCGGUAAUACAGAGGUCUCAAGCGUUGUUCGGAAUCACUGGGCGUAACGCGUGCGUAGGCUGUUUCGUAAGUCGUGUGUGAAAGGCGCGGGCUCAACCCGCGGACGGCACAUGAUACUGCGAGACUAGAGUAAUGGAGGGGGAACCGGAAUUCUCGGUGUAGCAGUGAAAUGCGUAGAUAUCGAGAGGAACACUCGUGGCGAAGGCGGGUUCCUGGACAUUAACUGACGCUGAGGCACGAAGGCCAGGGGAGCGAAAGGGAUUAGAUACCCCAGUAGUC